AGCGAACGCUAGUGGUAUGCUUUAUACAUGCAAGUCGAACGAAGUUUUGUUAUGAAGUAGCAAUAUGGAAUGAUAAAACUUAGUGGCGAACGGGUGAGUAAUAGUUAGGAACUUACCGAAUAGUGGGGGACAACGGGUAGAAAUGCCUGCUAAUACCGCAUAUUCCCGAGAGGGGAAAGAUUUAUCGCUAUUUGAGAGGCCUAACCACGAUUAGCUUGUUGGCGGGGUAAAUGCCCACCAAGGCAGUGAUCGUUAGCUGGUCUGAGAGGAUGAUCGGCCACAUUGGGACUGAGACACGGCCCAGACUCC
Molecule: ribosomal RNA, 309 nt
Filed under: uncultured Rickettsiales bacterium
Lineage: Bacteria; Pseudomonadati; Pseudomonadota; Alphaproteobacteria; Rickettsiales
Description: bacterial SSU rRNA
Rfam family: Bacterial small subunit ribosomal RNA
Source: RNAcentral